CCAAUAGCGUAUAUUAAAGUUGUUGCAGUUAAAAAGCUCGUAGUUGAAUUUCGAGACCGGUUUACUGGUCGUGCUUUUGUACGUACUGGUAUUAUUGGUUUCUCCUUUCUGACGAAUCAUAAUGCCAUUAAUUUGGUGUUUUGGGGAAUCAGGACUGUUACUUUGAAAAAAUUAGAGUGUUUAAAGCAGGCUCACGCUUGAAUACAUUAGCAUGGAAUAACGAAAUAGGACGUUUGAUUUUAUUUUGUUGGUUUCUAAGAUCGACGUAAUGAUUAAUAGAGAUAGUUGGGGGCAUUAGUAUUCAAUUGUCAGAGGUGAAAUUCUUGGAUUUAUUGAAGACUAACUACUGCGAAAGCAUUUGCCAAGGAUGUUUUCAUUAAUCAAGAACGAAAGUUAGGGGAUCGAAGACGAUCAGAUACCGUCGUAGUCUUAACCAUAAACUAUGCCGACUAGGGAUCGGAUGAUGUUAAUUUUUUAAUGACUCAUUCGGCGCCUUACG
Molecule: ribosomal RNA, 499 nt
Filed under: uncultured Glomeromycotina
Lineage: Eukaryota; Fungi; Glomeromycota
Description: partial small subunit ribosomal RNA
Rfam family: Eukaryotic small subunit ribosomal RNA
Source: RNAcentral